CAGUCGAGCGGUAACAGGGGUAGCUUGCUGCCCGCUGACGAGCGGCGGACGGGUGAGUAAUGCAUAGGAAUCUGCCCGAUAGUGGGGGAUAACCUGGGGAAACCCAGGCUAAUACCGCAUACGUCCUACGGGAGAAAGGGGGCUCCGGCUCCCGCUAUUGGAUGAGCCUAUGUCGGAUUAGCUGGUUGGUGAGGUAAUGGCUCACCAAGGCAACGAUCCGUAGCUGGUCUGAGAGGAUGAUCAGCCACAUCGGGACUGAGACACGGCCCGAACUCCUACGGGAGGCAGCAGUGGGGAAUAUUGGACAAUGGGGGCAACCCUGAUCCAGCCAUGCCGCGUGUGUGAAGAAGGCCCUCGGGUUGUAAAGCACUUUCAGCGAGGAAGAACGCCUGGCGGUUAAUACCCGCCAGGAAAGACAUCACUCGCAGAAGAAGCACCGGCUAACUCCGUGCCAGCAGCCGCGGUAAUACGGAGGGUGCAAGCGUUAAUCGGAAUGACUGGGCGUAAAGCGCGCGUAGGUGGCUUGAUAAGCCGGUUGUGAAAGCCCCGGGCUCAACCUGGGAACGGCAUCCGGAACUGUCAGGCUAGAGUGCAGGAGAGGAAGGUAGAAUUCCCGGUGUAGCGGUGAAAUGCGUAGAGAUCGGGAGGAAUACCAGUGGCGAAGGCGGCCUUCUGGACUGACACUGACACUGAGGUGCGAAAGCGUGGGUAGCAAACAGGAUUAGAUACCCUGGUAGUCCACGCCGUAAACGAUGUCGACCAGCCGUUGGGUGCCUAGCGCACUUUGUGGCGAAGUUAAC
Molecule: ribosomal RNA, 800 nt
Filed under: Halomonas sp. S15
Lineage: Bacteria; Pseudomonadati; Pseudomonadota; Gammaproteobacteria; Oceanospirillales; Halomonadaceae
Description: bacterial SSU rRNA
Rfam family: Bacterial small subunit ribosomal RNA
Source: RNAcentral